CCUCAUCCAUCUAAUAUCCCAGAGACCGUAUAUCGAGCAUGGUGCUGUCAGACCCAUACGGUUUCUACUCGAGUCUUGCUCUAAUCGGAUUCUCCCGGAGAACUCUUUCUCUCUCAACCCGAAUGACCCUGGCCAGGGAUUUGUCUGAGCAAGAACACAUAGGAUAUUCCUCUCAUGACGCCGAGAGUGGAUGAUCCUCUAUUGACACUUAAUAGCCCUCGUAAGGUCGACUACCACUCCCAAUGACCAGCUUUACUAGAUCUGGGGACAGCCAAACCUAUAAGUCUGGUAUCAAAAAGUGGAGCACUCAUACAGGACAUCCUUGGUGUCUCAAGUCUAAGGACCAGAUACACCACUAGGACUACGGAAUCGCUGUCUGACAAUAAGGCAUCAUCAAUCAUCCAGCAUUCCGUAAGCGGAUCAAUCAGUGAACUCAUUCUCCAAUGAGCACCUGUACUGUAUCCCUAGUGUCCCUACACGAGCAGCUAUGAGACCAGCUGCAUCCAUCAUAUGGACGGGUAUACAGUACACCAGUCUAUCCGGUUAUCACGAUGUCCUCUCGAGUAACCUAUGACCGGGAUUAUUUAGGAUAUGUGUUAAAGAUGAAUCGAUCUCAUUAUCAUGAUCUCAUCACGAUCCGAUUCCCAUUGCACAAAUCCAAGGAUAUCACAAUAUAUGUAUGCAUUUAUGCAAUAGUUAUAAAGUGAUAUACGCCAAAAUAUAAUAAGCAAAAAGAUUCUGUAUCAAGUCACACGUGCCAUCACUCACGUGAUUGGCUUGCUGGGCACUUAUGACUAGCACAUGUGUUAUUAUAAGAGUGACAAAUGGAGACUGAUCAUGAAUGUACCUGAAGUUUCUCCAAGCUUCUCUUUCGCCCUCUCUACAAGGUACUCUUUGUAGUUCCUCUUCCAGUGCCCAUCUUUACCAGAGUGGAAGCAUUGGCCUUUGUCCGUUGUCGUAUCUUUUUUAGCAACCUUUGCUUUACCUGGUCUGCCCUUGUCCUUCUUAAGGGACUUUUCUCCUUUCCUUUUCUUUAUGGUCUCCUUAGUGUAGAGAACUGGCUUCUCCUUUUUGAUGGUGCUCUCUACCUCCCUCAACAUAUUGAGGAGCUUUGGGAGAGUCACCUCAAGCUUAUUCAUUUUAAAAUUCAUUAUGAACUAUGAAAAUGAAUCUGAUAGGGACUGAAGCACAAUGUCCACACUUAAGUUAUCCUCUAGAAUCAUUCCUAGACCUGUGAGUUUCUCUAUCAACUCAAUCAUUUUUAGGACAUUGUUCUGAACCGAUGUUCUCUUAGUCAUCCUUGCGUGAAAGAGACUCUUGGAUAUCUCAUAUCGCUGAGUCCUUCCUUAUUCCUCAAACAGUUUGCGGACAUGUAGCAGAAUAGAUCUGACAUCCAUCUUUUCAUGUUGUCUCUGUAACUCAGGAGUCAUAGAGCCCAACAUGUAACACUGAGCAAGAGUGGAAUCAUCAUUGUACUUCACGUAGCGAGUGAUCGCAUCCUCACUUGCCCCUUCCUCGAGCGUAGGCAUCACUGUAUCAAGGACAUACACGAUUUUCUCCCUCGUGAGAAUAAUUCUCAAGUUCCAGAGCCAAUCCGUAUAAUUUGGACCAGUGAGGCGGUUGACAUCAAGUAUGCCAAGUAAGGGAUUUGAAAGUGACCUUUUCUAAAAAUAAAGAUGUAGUAUAAAUAAAUAACAUGCAGAUUUUGCAAGAAAUAAACAAUCAAAAUAUUGACUUCUAUCUUAAUAUGCUCCCACUAUUUUACUAGCGAGUCAUGCGACACCCUUAGCACGUGAAAUGGAAGUCUCCGAUAGACUUCUAGUAGGGAUUAAGAUCCAAUCAGCGUCUCAGUGUAACCUCGAGGGACUUGAUCAAUCACACUAAGCCCAAAAGGUACUCUUGUCGAUCAUAGCUCUUUGUGAUUCCUGCCCUGUUUGGCCUCCAAAUCACUAUGAUCUCGAGGGACUCGACCAACCAUGAUGUUCGGUUAAGUCAACACCAUCGUUACAAGAUGAGUCUGAUUUGAUGAUAUACCCUCGAGGGACUCGACCAAGUAUACCAUGUUCUCAAGUCAUCGGUGACAUCUCUAUAUCGUAGGCAAGAUAGCGAAUCGCGAUAUAUAUGAGCCUCGUGGGACUCGACCGACUCAACCUACACCGGGAAUUAGUCCCUACCUAUAACGAUGGAAGGCCACGUGGGUCAAUCUAAUGGCCUUACGUUUACCAAUUUAAUAUUAUCGAUAGAGGGGUUUCUAUGAUUUGGUCUCCUAAUAUAACAUGUCACACAUAUACAUAUUUAAUAUAUAUAUAUAUAUAUGUAUAUAUAUAUAUAUAUAUAUAUAUAUAUAUAUAUAUAUAUAUAUCGCAUGCAAAUAUAUAUACAUAUCUAGUAGGUGUAUAAGCAAUCACACUAGAUAAUCAUGUACCACAGCCUAAUGUGAUCAGGCCCAAGCCAGUGAGCCUAAUCACUCACAUCAAGAUCAAUGUAUGCGGCGGUGCAUCUCCAUAUCCUAUGAUUGUCCAUCUCGUCCUCGUUAGCUCUGUCGAUAUCUCGAUGCAUCUCCAUGCAUCGCGAUCGUCCAUCUCAUGGGUCCCGUUAUCGAUUCCACGCUCCCACUGCGCCUCCUCGUGUGAUUACAUACAUCAUAAGCACGCAGGCGAGAAAUAAAAAUAGAGGCUCGCAAGCCCCAAUAAUAAUAAUCACAAGUACAUACAUCACACGUUCAUGAUCAUAUGUCUACUUUUGAUACAUCACAUAUAUAAAUCAUCAUCAUAUAGGACACUAGAUAAUAAAAAUAAUAAUAAUCAAUUAAAAUUUUUAAUUAAUUAAUAUUUUUUGAAAUCAGAGACAUAUAAGGAAUUUUCUAAUUGCUGUGGGGUAUUUUUCGUAAUUUGGACAAAGGACAGAACUGAAAUUUUUGAAAUUUCAAGGGGCAAAACUGUAUUUUGCCCUAAGAUGCCCUAAUGCCCUCUACCCUGCUGCUAUCGCCGCCGUCGCCACCCCGCCGGCGGCGACCUGUGCGGCGGGGGACGGGGGCGUUGCCCUCGCCACCCGCAGGCGAUGCUGCCCCUGCAGGUGGGCGCCCCCGCGGGCGCCGUCGCCUCGGCGGACGGUUCUGCUCGCGGGGCAGCGCCCGCAGGCGGUGUUGGCCCGCCAGGCGGCCGCCAAUGCGAGGGGUUUUGCCCACGGGAGCAGCGGUCACAAGCACCGCUGCAAUGCGGCGCCUCACCCCGCGGGAGAAGCGACCGCAGUCGCCUCUGCCCGCGGGCUGCCAGCCCCGCCGACGACAAGCCUGCUGCAAGCAGGCCGUCGGCCGGCUGUUGCAGGCACAGCACUUGCGCAUACGCCGGCGCUGUGCAGCCUGGCUGCGGCAGCCGCUGCAUGUGGCUACAGGCAUGCAGAUCGAGGGAAGUAACUGUUGUUGUCCGUCCUUAUUUUCGUCAACAAUUUUGACUUCAAAAGUUUCUCCAAAACACAAUACAUGCGGUUCAAAACCAAUCUAUCGUACGAAUAACCUGACUUUGAUACUAUUAUUGGGAAAUCUUGGGGGAGACAUCACAUGCAAAGUGGAAGAACAAAAACAUAAAAUCUCCAAUUUCCCAAAAAGAUAUUCGUCGUCGUGCAAAAAUUAGUGCGUAAAAAUCUACGAAACAAACUACGUAUAGAAUAGAUUCAAUCUAUCGUACGAAUAACCUGACUUUGAUACUAUUAUUGGGAAAUCUUGGGGGAGACAUCACAUGCAAAGUGGAAGAACAAAAACAUAAAAUCUCCAAUUUCCCAAAAAGAUAUUUGUCGUCGUGCAAAAAUUAGUGCGUAAAAAUCUACGAAACAAACUACGUAUAGAAUAGAUUAUGUUACAUAGGGAGAUCGUAUAGGAGAGGGUGAAGGAGGUCAAGCAUAGGCCUGCUCUAAGAUGGAGAGGGGAGGAGAAUAUGAGAGGCAAGCAAAGGCUCAAGCCUAUGAACCACUGAAUCACUCCUAUUUAUAGAGGUCCCCUGUCAAACCCUAAUGGAUCAUCCCCUAUUGGGUAUUAGAUCUGCAUCCAACUACCCAAGCCUCUUAAAUUAGUGGAUCUCUAUCCAAUAAUCUCUUAUGGGCUCUUAUUGAAUCUAAUCUAUAAGAUCCAAUAAUUCAGGGGCUUAUUGGAUAUCCAAUAAGUCAAGGGCUCCAACGGAUAUCUCAUAUCCGAAUCUCUACUCAUCGCAAUGCCUACCAUAUGUGCGUGACCCUCCGGGCCCAAUAUCGAGCUAGCCGUGAGUCAUACCUGUCAGAACUCUUUCUAGCUCAGUGAAUUAUUAUCUCUAUAAUAAAUCACUCGACUCAUCGACUACGGAUGUACUAGGCCACUACGUCGUAGUCCCCAUACGAUACACGGGAAUCUAAUCCAAUGGACCUAUCUAUCCUUAGUUACGGUGUACCUAUAGUCCAUGAUCCAUCUAAUAUCCUAGAGACCGUAUACCGGGUAUGGUGCUGUAAGACCUAUACAGUUUUUAGUCGAGUCUCGCUCUAAUCGGAUUCUCCCGGAGAACUCUUUCUCUCUCAAUCCGAAUAACCCUAGCCAGGGAUUUGUUUGAGCAAAAACACAUGGGAUAUUCCUCUCAUGACGUUGAGAGCGAAUGAUCCUCUAUCGACACUCAAUAACCCUAGUAAAGUCGACUACUACUCUCAAUGAUCGGUUGUACUAAAUUUGGAACAUCCAAACGUAUAAGUCCGGUAUCAAAGAAUGGAGCACUUAUACAGGACAUCCUUGGUGUCUCAAGUCUAAGGACCAGAUACACCACUGGGACUACGAAAUCACUGUCUGACAAUAAGGCAUCAUCAACCAUCCAACAUUCCCUAAGCAGAUCAAUCAGUGAACUCAUUCUCUAAUGAGCACCUGUACUAUAUCCCUAGUGUCCCC
This 4900-nucleotide long non-coding RNA is filed under the name Musa acuminata (dwarf banana). Its description in RNAcentral is "long non-coding RNA (MACU_LNC000856)". The record is from RNAcentral. Lineage: Eukaryota; Viridiplantae; Streptophyta; Magnoliopsida; Zingiberales; Musaceae.